GAUGAACGCUGGCGGCGUGCCUAAUACAUGCAAGUCGAGCGAACGGACGAGAAGCUUGCUUCUCUGAUGUUAGCGGCGGACGGGUGAGUAACACGUGGAUAACCUACCUAUAAGACUGGGAUAACUUCGGGAAACCGUAGCUAAUACCGGAUAAUAUUUUGAACCGCAUGGUUCAAAAGUGAAAGACGGUCUUGCUGUCACUUAUAGAUGGAUCCGCGCUGCAUUAGCUAGUUGGUAAGGUAACGGCUUACCAAGGCAACGAUGCAUAGCCGACCUGAGAGGGUGAUCGGCCACACUGGAACUGAGACACGGUCCAGACUCCUACGGGAGGCAGCAGUAGGGAAUCUUCCGCAAUGGGCGAAAGCCUGACGGAGCAACGCCGCGUGAGUGAUGAAGGUCUUCGGAUCGUAAAACUCUGUUAUUAGGGAAGAACAUAUGUGUAAGUAACAGUGCACAUCUUGACGGUACCUAAUCAGGAAGCCACGGCUAACUACGUG
RNAcentral lists this ribosomal RNA (497 nucleotides) under uncultured bacterium. Its description in RNAcentral is "partial 16S ribosomal RNA". It matches the Rfam family "Bacterial small subunit ribosomal RNA", at positions 28 to 507 of the family's 1533-position model. The record is from RNAcentral.